RNAcentral lists this non-coding RNA (297 nucleotides) under Cladophora vagabunda. Lineage: Eukaryota; Viridiplantae; Chlorophyta; Ulvophyceae; Cladophorales; Cladophoraceae. The record is from RNAcentral.
AUGCCGUCCAUGACUCUUGCCGCUCCUGAUGGGGGGCAUGGGUUCAAGCCGUGUAGUCCGGCACGUCGUCGACGUUGUUGGUUUGCCGACCAGAGCCGGGUUGUUCGCAACCUGGUUUUGGGCACCUCCUUGGGAUGCGCUCUCACCAGUGCGCCCAAUGACCACCGAGCAAGCACGCGUUGUCGUUGGCGACGUGCGGCAGCAGCCUUCGCGGCACUGCUCAUUGUAGGCACAGGUUACCUCGCGUAGCUACAGUUUACUAUGGGAAGCNNNNNNNNUGCGCUGCGCAACACACCA